Molecule: transfer RNA, 74 nt
Filed under: Candidatus Roizmanbacteria bacterium RIFCSPHIGHO2_01_FULL_39_12b
Lineage: Bacteria; Candidatus Roizmaniibacteriota
Also listed under: 1 other name
Description: tRNA-Trp
Rfam family: tRNA
About the family: Transfer RNA (tRNA) molecules are approximately 80 nucleotides in length. Their secondary structure includes four short double-helical elements and three loops (D, anti-codon, and T loops). Further hydrogen bonds mediate the characteristic L-shaped molecular structure. tRNAs have two regions of fundamental functional importance: the anti-codon, which is responsible for specific mRNA codon recognition, and the 3' end, to which the tRNAs corresponding amino acid is attached (by aminoacyl-tRNA synthetases). tRNAs cope with the degeneracy of the genetic code in two manners: having more than one tRNA (with a specific anti-codon) for a particular amino acid; and 'wobble' base-pairing, i.e. permitting non-standard base-pairing at the 3rd anti-codon position.
Source: RNAcentral
GGGGGUGUGGUGAAAUGGUAUCAUAAAGGUCUCCAAAACCUUUGUUCCAGGUUCGAGCCCUGGCGCCCCUGCCA